GCCGCGCUGAUCGGCCUUCUGGUCCGCGACCCUGCCAAGGUCGAAGGCGGCCCGCGGGGGUCCAUGCUCGAUGUGCUGCGCAUCCGCGCGGUC
RNAcentral lists this transfer RNA (93 nucleotides) under Gemmobacter lanyuensis. RNAcentral's name for it is "tRNA-Gly". Lineage: Bacteria; Pseudomonadati; Pseudomonadota; Alphaproteobacteria; Rhodobacterales; Paracoccaceae. The record is from RNAcentral.